GAUGAACGCUGGCGGCGUGCCUAAUACAUGCAAGUCGAGCGAACAGAUAAGGAGCUUGCUCCUUUGACGUUAGCGGCGGACGGGUGAGUAACACGUGGGUAACCUACCUAUAAGACUGGAAUAACUCCGGGAAACCGGGGCUAAUGCCGGAUAACAUGUUGAACCGCAUGGUUCUACAGUGAAAGGCGGCUUUGCUGUCACUUAUAGAUGGACCCGCGCCGUAUUAGCUAGUUGGUGAGGUAACGGCUCACCAAGGCAACGAUACGUAGCCGACCUGAGAGGGUGAUCGGCCACACUGGAACUGAGACACGGUCCAGACUCCUACGGGAGGCAGCAGUAGGGAAUCUUCCGCAAUGGGCGAAAGCCUGGCGGAGCAACGCCGCGUGAGUGAUGAAGGUCUUCGGAUCGUAAAACUCUGUUAUUAGGGAAGAACAAAUGCGUAAGUAACUGUGCGCGUCUUGACGGUACCUAAUCAGAAAGCCACGGCUAACUACGUG
RNAcentral lists this ribosomal RNA (497 nucleotides) under uncultured bacterium. Its description in RNAcentral is "partial 16S ribosomal RNA". It matches the Rfam family "Bacterial small subunit ribosomal RNA", at positions 28 to 507 of the family's 1533-position model. The record is from RNAcentral.